UUUUGUUAAAAUUUUUCACAUUUUCACAGAUUCUGCAAGUGGUUCACAAACUUUCAAGUGGCACUGUAUAUGUUAUGAGAAUACUAAAGCCUGCAGAUAGGGAGUACAUGUUAUUUAAGGAAAAUAUAAUUAUAUUUUCAGAAUGACACAUUUUUUUUUCAAACAUAGUCUGAAAACGCCCCCUUCCCACUAUCAUCAUUUCUGUAGUUACUCUGUUAUGCACAACAAAUUCUUUGUUUUUCAAUCAAAUGUAAUCUAACUAGGUGGUUGAAUAAAAAUAUUUGGACUUUACAUUUAAAAAUUACCGCAUCAGGUAACUAGUUAGCUAGCCAGUUAGCAUCAGCUAACAAUAUUUUUCAAAUAAGAUAUUAUAAUUUAGUAAAUCAUAAUUAUUGAUUAUAUUCUUUUUAAUUUUAAGCUAAAACUGCUUGUACUCUGAUUUUGCUGUACAUUUAUAAAGCAAUUUGCUUUGUCAGACUGGGGGCAUUUUACCCCACCUGUGGGGCAAAACGCCCCCCUUGGUACAAAAAAUCUAAUAACAUGAAAACUCUGGACAUUUUUCAUACUUGGUUUCUAAUUUAUGUCAUUGCCACUAAAACUAUGAUAGCUAUUCUGGAUCAUUUUAACUUUUGUUUCACAGAAAAAAAUGACAAAGUCCUUAAGGGGGGCUCACAUAAAAUGGGGGAUUCAGAACACAGUAAAAUGUGCUCAAAGUAGUAAAACUUGAUUGGAUAUUAUUCUUGUGGGUUGGAAUUAAUUGUGAUAGCAAAGCAUUUUAUCUGCUGUUUUUCUUUAGAGAAAUUGAUGUAGAAUGUGAUAAGGUUGGUGAUGUCUGAACUUCUCUCUUCUGUUAUUUUAAAAAUAAUUUUGGUCUGAUGUAAACAGCUGCAGAGAUAACGCAAGGUCAAUCCGCCAACACAACAUUAGGGUUAUCGAAAUUUUACCCCUCUCUAUUUUCACAAAGACACCCAUGCCUGUCCCAUGUCUCCUCUAUUCUAGAUUCUAGAAUUUCAAGAAUGUUAUUUAUUAUUAUUGUUUUGUCAGCGUUUUUUAUUUUAUUAUUAUUAUUAAGUUGUUUUUAUUAUUAUUUUAUUUUAAUUGACAUUUAAAUACGUUUUCACGCUUUCAGUUUCAGAUAAAAGUCUUAUGUUUGGACGUUGCUAUUAGCGCCCGUUGUGACCAAUAACCAACAACAAAUGAUCUGUAGGCCAAUAUGAGAAUCAAAGUGGAAAGGCAAGAGAAGCAUAUGUCACACCGUGCUUUUCAGAUUUUUUUCAAGUCGUGUCAUCACUGAAGAGGAGAACUGCAGUGGUGUCUUUGAAAAAUCAUCAGAUGAGGUCGAUCAAAGAGCGUCCCACCUGCACAUGGUGCGUGAGGUCAAUGCAUCAAAGCACACUGACUCUUGGCGAUCAGACUAAAUCCAUUUAUUCUACAACACACGCAGAGCAUCUCUCCACCACCCCAGCUCCUACUCUCAACUCUCCCUAUCCCAGGAUAAGGAUAUAGGGGAGAGUACUCUGGGUUCGAGCCAAAUUCCAAGCUUGGAGCCCUCCCCUUGGACAACAUGCCAAAUAUGUAUACUCUCUACUCUAUCCGAAUUAUAUGUAGGCCUAAGUGUGAACUUGUGAAGUGAGUUUUAUUCAUACAGAGCCAAACAUAGCCAUAGUUGGAGACGAAUGAAAGAAAAUUGCACUCGUAAUGACACUAUUUCAAAAUUUCAUAUUAGAAAACUGUAUCACUAAUAAAUCCAUGUGAAAGUUUAUUCUAAAUGAAUAAUGUUGGUGACAGUAACUACAGUUUAAGUACUGUUUCUUAAAGAGCUUUUCUGGGAGAGGACGUGAUGGUCAAGCACUGGUCUUUUUGCCCCAAGAUCCAUGUUAUCCUUCUCAGCAUAAUAGAAAGCUGGACCUCAGUAACAUACAUGUGACACAAGCACAGACACACUCCAGAGAUGUACAUGGCCCAAAGGACAUCAUACCAGUAAGCCUGAAGUGUUUAUCCAGAGUGUAUUUGUCUAUUUUUAAUGCAGUAGGCCUAGUGAAUCUUUGCAGUAGCGAUACUGAACCUACAGUGUAUGUAAGGUUUAAGAAUCUACCUAAAAACACAUUGUUGAACUGCGCAAUGUACCUAAUUAUUUUUAAGCUGUCGUGUAUGUGUACAGCAUCAUGUCCUACACAGAGUGGGGGUACAGAACAGGGCACAGAACCGUGAUGGUUUUGUGAUGAAAGAGGUCACCAACCCCACUGAGGCCACAAUGUACCAGACCACAUAUCAAACAGUGCACUCCACUUCCAGCAGAUAUCAAACAAAUGAAUCAAGCGGACAACCUGUCUCCUGGCACAGGCAUAACAUCAUCACAGGAGAGGAGAAGACCUCAGCGGGGCCUAUGCGGCCCAGAAGACAGUCUGGGGAGAGCGUUCUGUGGGCAGCGCGGCGCUGGGAGACACAUUGCAACUUCGUUUGUACUGAACCUCUCAGCUAGAAAGUCACAACACCAAUAAAAUGUUCUCAAAAUUGGA
This is a long non-coding RNA of Ctenopharyngodon idella (grass carp), 2519 nucleotides long. RefSeq lists it as uncharacterized. The transcript is spliced from 3 exons. Lineage: Eukaryota; Metazoa; Chordata; Actinopteri; Cypriniformes; Xenocyprididae. The record is from RefSeq and is a predicted model, not a curated record.